AAAUGAAUUGACGGGGACCCGCACAAGCAGCGGAGCGUGUGGUUUAAUUCGAUGCGACGCGAAGAACCUUACCUAGGUUUGACAUGGCUCUGGUAGCGAAGGGAAACCCGAGCGACCCGCAAGGGAGGAGUCACAGGUGCUGCAUGGCUGUCGUCAGCUCGUGUCGUGAGAUGUUGGGUUAAGUCCCGCAACGAGCGCAACCCUCGGCGUAUGUUUUACAUGUCAUACGCAACUGCCCGCCAUAAGCGGGAGGAAGGUGGGGAUGACGUCAAGUCAGCAUGGCCUUUAUAUCUAGGGCGACACACACGCUACAAUGGCGCGUACAAUGGGCGGCGAGUGGGCGACCACAAGCAAAUCUCUUAAAGCGCGUCUUAGUUCGGAUUGGAGUCUGCAACUCGACUCCAUGAAGGCGGAGUUGCUAGUAACCGCGCGUCAGCCAUAGUGCGGUGAAUGCGUUCCCGGGUCUUGUACACACCGCCCGU
RNAcentral lists this ribosomal RNA (482 nucleotides) under uncultured bacterium. RNAcentral describes it as "bacterial SSU rRNA". It matches the Rfam family "Bacterial small subunit ribosomal RNA", at positions 903 to 1397 of the family's 1533-position model. The record is from RNAcentral.